AGGGGCUUGCGUCUGAUUAGUUAGUUGGCAGGGUAACGGCCUACCAAGACGAUGAUCAGUAGGGGUUCUGAGAGGAUUGGCCCCCACAUGGGUACUGAGAUACGGACCCAACUCCUACGGGAGGCAGCAGUAGGGAAUAUUGGGCAAUGGACGCAAGUCUGACCCAGCCAUGCCGCGUGCAGGAUGAAGGCGCUCAGCGUUGUAAACUGCUUUUAUUGGUGAAGAACUGUAGUCCUGCGGGAUUACUUGACGGUAGCCAAGGAAUAAGCACCGGCUAACUCCGUGCCAGCAGCCGCGGUAAUACGGAGGGUGCAAGCGUUGUCCGGAUUUAUUGGGUUUAAAGGGUGCGUAGGUGGUCAUUUAAGUCUGGUUUGAAAGCAGGCGGCUUAACCGUCUGAUGUGGCUGGAAACUGAAUGACUUGAAUGGGUUGGCGGUAGCCGGAACGGGUCAUGUAGCGGUGAAAUGCAUAGAUAUGACCCAGAACACCGAUUGCGAAGGCAGGCUACUACGACUUGAUUGACACUGAGGCACGAGAG
Molecule: ribosomal RNA, 537 nt
Filed under: uncultured Flexibacteraceae bacterium
Lineage: Bacteria; Pseudomonadati; Bacteroidota; Cytophagia; Cytophagales; Cytophagaceae
Description: bacterial SSU rRNA
Rfam family: Bacterial small subunit ribosomal RNA
Source: RNAcentral